UGGAAACGACUGUUAAUACCGCAUAAGACCACAGCACCGCAUGGUGCGGGGGUAAAAACUCCGGCGGUAUGAGAUGGACCCGCGUUCGAUUAGCCAGUUGGCGGGGUAACGGCCCACCAAAGCGACGAUCGAUAGCCGAUCUGAGAGGAUGACCGGCCACAUUGGGACUGAGACACGGCCCAAACUCCUACGGGAGGCAGCAGUGGGGAAUAUUGCACAAUGGGGGAAACCCUGAUGCAGCGACGCCGCGUGAGUGAAGAAGUAUUUCGGUAUGUAAAGCUCUAUCAGCAGGGAAGAAAAUGACGGUACCUGAGUAAGAAGCCCCGGCUAACUACGUGCCAGCAGCCGCGGUAAUACGUAGGGGGCAAGCGUUAUCCGGAUUUACUGGGUGUAAAGGGAGCGCAGACGGCUCUGCAAGUCUGAAGUGAAAGCCCGCGGCUUAACCGCGGGACUGCUUUGGAAACUGCAAGGCUUGAGUAUCGGAGGGGCAGGCGGAAUUCCUAGUGUAGCGGUGAAAUGCGUAGAUAUUAGGAAGAACACCGGUGGCGAACGCGGCCUGCUGGACGAAAACUGACGUUGAGGCUCGAAGGCGUGGGGAGCAAACAGGAUUAGAUACCCUGGUAGUCCACGCGGUAAACGAUGAAUACUAGGUGUUGGUGCCCGAAGGGCAUCGGUGCCGUCGCAAACGCAAUAAGUAUUCCACCUGGGGGAGUACGUUUCGCAAGAAUUGAAAACUCAAAGGAAUUUGACCGGA
Molecule: ribosomal RNA, 754 nt
Filed under: uncultured bacterium
Lineage: Bacteria
Description: bacterial SSU rRNA
Rfam family: Bacterial small subunit ribosomal RNA
Source: RNAcentral